Molecule: small nuclear RNA, 273 nt
Filed under: Neotoma lepida (desert woodrat)
Lineage: Eukaryota; Metazoa; Chordata; Mammalia; Rodentia; Cricetidae
Description: 7SK RNA
Rfam family: 7SK RNA
About the family: 7SK was discovered as an abundant small nuclear RNA in the mid-70s but a possible function has only recently been suggested. Two independent studies have found that 7SK RNA binds the CDK9/cyclin T complex (known as elongation factor P-TEFb). P-TEFb activates transcription by phosphorylating the C-terminal domain of RNA polymerase II.
Source: Rfam by way of RNAcentral
GGGUGGGAGGGCAAUCUGGCUUUGUCAUCCCAUUGAUCACCAGGGUUGAUUGGGCUGUUCUGGACGGCUGGUGUGUGUCCCCUUCUUCCCUCACCACUUCAUGUGUGUCCCUCCUAAAGCUCCCUGAAUAGAGGCAGAGAGAGAGCUAAUUAGGAAUGGCAAGGGAGUAUGAGGGUCUGCAUUGGAUGUUAUCAACUGCCAGUUCCAGGCAGUNCAAUAAAAUUCUGUCUUAAAAUAAAGAGUAAAAAACAGAAAGGUUAAAAAAUAGGCUUU